AUCCAGCUAACGAGUCCCAAAUAGCAUGAAAUGCGCAUCCUGGAU
Molecule: non-coding RNA, 45 nt
Organism: Trichobilharzia regenti
Lineage: Eukaryota; Metazoa; Platyhelminthes; Trematoda; Strigeidida; Schistosomatidae
Source: Rfam